This 508-nucleotide ribosomal RNA is filed under the name uncultured bacterium. RNAcentral describes it as "partial 16S ribosomal RNA". It matches the Rfam family "Bacterial small subunit ribosomal RNA", at positions 28 to 506 of the family's 1533-position model. The record is from RNAcentral.
GACGAACGCUGGCGGCGUGCCUAAUACAUGCAAGUCGAACGCUUCUUUCCUCCCGAGUGCUUGCACUCCAUUGGAAAGAGGAGUGGCGGACGGGUGAGUAACACGUGGGUAACCUACCCAUCAGAGGGGGAUAACACUUGGAAACAGGUGCUAAUACCGCAUAACAGUUUAUGCCGCAUGGCAUAAGAGUGAAAGGCGCUUUCGGGUGUCGCUGAUGGAUGGACCCGCGGUGCAUUAGCUAGUUGGUGAGGUAACGGCUCACCAAGGCCACGAUGCAUAGGCGGACCUGAGGGGGGAAUGGGCACCACGGGGAUUGACAACCGCCCCAGCUCCUGCGGGGGGGCAGGAGUGGGGAAUUUGCGGCAAGGGGAGAAAUUCUGACCGAGCAACGCCGCGUGGGUGAAGAAGUGUUUCGGUUCGUAAAACUUUGUUGUAGGAAAAGAACAGGGGCGUUAGAAACGAAACGUCCCCUGACGGUAUCGAAACAAAAAGCCCCGGCAAACUAGGU